Molecule: long non-coding RNA, 227 nt
Filed under: Nicotiana benthamiana
Lineage: Eukaryota; Viridiplantae; Streptophyta; Magnoliopsida; Solanales; Solanaceae
Description: long non-coding RNA (NBEN_LNC018759)
Source: RNAcentral
ACCAACAACAACAACAACAACAACAACUACCCAGUAUAUUCCCACCAGGUGGGGUCUGGGGAGGGUAAUAUGUAGACGAGCCUUACCCCUAGCCGAAAGGGCAGAGAGGCUGUUUCCAAUCGACCCUCGGCGCAUAGGAUAAAAUAAAAAGCAGCAUUAAAACAAAAACAAAGACAUAAUUAGAAACAAAAACAAAACAAAACAAAACAAUAAAGCAUUAGUAAAUC